GUGGAGAGAAGCUGAGGUUGAGUGGAGAGAAGCUGAGAUCAAGCAGAGAGAAGCUGAGGUUGAGUGGAGAGAAGCUGAGGUUGAGUGGAGAGAAGCUGAGGUUGAGUGGAGAGAAGCUGAGGUUGAGUGGAGAGAAGCUGAGGUUGAGUGGAGAGAAGCUGAGGUUGAGUGGAGAGAGGCUGGGAACCAGUGAUGAGAAGCUGAGGUUGAGUGGAGAGAAGCUGAGGUUGAGUGGAGAGAAGCUGAGAUCAAGCAGAGAGAAGCUGAGGUUGAGUGGAGAGAAGCUGGGAACCAGUGAUGAGAAGCUGAGGUUGAGUGGAGAGAAGCUAAGAUCAAGCAGAGAGAAGCUGAGGUUGAGUGGAUAGAAGCUAAGAUCAAGCAGAGAGAAGCUGAGACUGAGUGGAGAGAAGCUGGGAACAAGUGAUGAGAAGCUGAGGUUGAGUGGAGAGAAGCUGAGAUCAAGCAGAGAGAAGCUGGGAACCAGUGGAGAGAAGCUAAGAUCAAGCAGAGAGAAGCUGAGGUUGAGUGGAGAGAAGCUGGGAACAAGUGAUGAGAAGCUGAGGUUGAGUGGAGAGAAGCUGAGAUCAAGCAGAGAGAAGCUGGGAACCAGUGGAGAGAAGCUGAGAUCAAGCAGAGAGAAGCUGAGGUUGAGUGGAGAGAAGCUGGGGUCAAGUGCGGAGAAGCUGAGAUCUAGUGAGGAGAAGUUAGGGACCAGCGGGGAGAAAUUGGAGGGUUCAAGAAUGGGGAGCAUAAAUGAGAAGAACAUUGAAAAAGUGGUAGAAGUUACUGGUGAUGAAAGAGUGAUGGCAUUUACUGAUGAUGAGAUGGAAAUUCCUUUUGAAAGUGUCAAAGGGAGUGAGGAACUACAAGGGACUGAGAAAGGAGUGGGAGUUGAGGGGAGCAUCUUGAGUGAAGUGAAAGAUAUCACUGAUGAAUCUGUUUCUAUGGAAAAGAAAGAUAUUAUAGGUGAAGGUACCAGUGAAUGAGGCAGAUGAAGGAUUGACACCAAAGAAGGAAAGAGGCAGACAGGAGAAGUACUGAAAGUCAGAGGAGAAAUUAGAGCCAGGCAGAACAUUAUUGACACUGAAGGGGUAAAGUUGAGAAAGGAAAGGAGAGAGUCUGAGCCUAAAAUAAAAGAGAGUGGAAGUGAGGAAAAGAGCUUCUGGGGCUGAAGGCGGAGGCCAGGAUCAAAGGAAGCAAAGAGGAGUGUCUGGUUCAGAGGGAAGUGGGAACAUAUGGAGGAGAAAGAGAAGACUUGGUAACGUGUUGACAGAGGACACUUGGAUAUUGGGAGAAAAGCUGUGACUGGGAGCUCAUAGGGAAAUGUUUGAGAAAAGGAUGGAGGAUGGGCUAGAAGGAUUUAGUCUGACACUAAAUGGGGUCUAUGAGAUGGAGAAUUGCAGCAGGAUAAAGGGUAGAUUUUGAGAGUUGUGGAAGAAGGUGCAGACUGAAGUGGGCAAAAUUUCUGAAAGAGGAGCCUGAAGAAUGAAGGGCUCCCAAGUGACAAAAGCAGGAGAGGAGAUAAGAAAGAAGUGAGAAAAAACACAAGAAGCCACGUGCCAUAAUGGUGAUUGUGUUUGUUGAUCUCUGCCAUCCCGAGAUCAUCACUCCUAGCCUCCUCUGGAAACUCUCUGAGAGUUGGGGAAUUGUCUCUUUUAUAAGAGGCCUACACAGGCACGAGGUCAUACUUGGGCAGUUUUCGGCUUUGUGAAAAUCUCUCAGAUUGCACCGCACAGUAUACAACUGAUGAACCAGACAACCACAGUCGUUCUUUGGAUUGCAUUUUCUCCUGAGAUAUCAGACGCAUUUCACCAGGGCCACAGAAAGAAAAAUGAAGACCAAGAUACCGUGACAAAUGCCAACUACCUCGUAAGUGCAGAUAUUUUCAGUUAUCUAGGUAGCUAGAGCUUUGCAUAGGUAAUACCCUUU
This 1929-nucleotide long non-coding RNA is filed under the name Pan troglodytes (chimpanzee). RNAcentral's name for it is "long non-coding RNA NONPTRT003091". The record is from RNAcentral. Lineage: Eukaryota; Metazoa; Chordata; Mammalia; Primates; Hominidae.